CUUAUUACCAAAAUUGUGUAUGGUUUGGUAUUUACUCGCCUAUACCAUGUUUUGUUUACAAACAUUGUACCAAACCAAAAAUAGAUAGAUUCUACUCUAAAAAGGCUCCAAAUUUGUAGGAAUCACAUUUGGAUUGGGUGUUGUUGUAAAUAAUUCGAAAUAUGUUUAGGAGUUUAUAUCUCUGGAAAUUUAGGGGUUUUGGUGAAGAU
Molecule: long non-coding RNA, 209 nt
Filed under: Nicotiana benthamiana
Lineage: Eukaryota; Viridiplantae; Streptophyta; Magnoliopsida; Solanales; Solanaceae
Description: long non-coding RNA (NBEN_LNC038053)
Source: RNAcentral